AGAAACAUCGCUCAUCUCGCAGCACUCAUGGAAGAAAAAAGAGGCACUCAGACGCACAAGCCUGUGUAGUUUCGAUCCACAUUCGGCGGGAACAGCAGUUUAAAUUUAAACAACCAACGGUCUAGAUGUAGAAAAGAAAGUCCCGCCUUAAAGCAAUGGCGGCUCGUGGAGCCUCUCAAUAGUUCCCGGAAGUAGCAGCAAACACCGUAGAGAUGCAUCAGAACAAACCGUUUGCGACGCACUUUUAAAAGUGGGGAAGCCAUACAUUCGCACACCUUUCUCUGAGCGAUUGGAGCAUCCCCAUGCAGCACAGCAAACCAUGGUGAAGACUAUGCAAUGACAACAUGAAAGAAAGGACACAUACAAAAUGCUUGGCAUGC
Molecule: long non-coding RNA, 380 nt
Organism: Xyrauchen texanus (razorback sucker)
Lineage: Eukaryota; Metazoa; Chordata; Actinopteri; Cypriniformes; Catostomidae
Exons: 3
Source: RefSeq, a predicted model, not a curated record